RNAcentral lists this ribosomal RNA (348 nucleotides) under Triticum aestivum (bread wheat). Its description in RNAcentral is "partial small subunit ribosomal RNA". The record is from RNAcentral. Lineage: Eukaryota; Viridiplantae; Streptophyta; Magnoliopsida; Poales; Poaceae.
AUGAAGCCGGUUUGCAGCAUUGGCAAUGAUCAGCUAAAUGUGGUGGUGAAUCUUAUCGACCACAGUAACUGGUCGUGGAAGGCUGAUGUGGUUCGAGGUAAUUUCAUACCCCCAGAUGCGGAUGCCAUUCUCAACAUUCCGUUGAGGCAAGGAGGGGGUGAUGAUUCGUUGGCUUGGGCUUUUGAAAAAUCGGGUUGCUACACUGUAAGAUCAUCGUAUCGUGCCUUAAUGACUCGGAACAAGCAGACUGCUCUAGAGGAGGGGACGAUUACCGAAUCUUCAUUGACAGACAAACAACUGUGGUCUCGAUUGUGGAAGCUCAAAGUUAUCCCAAGAGUCAGAGUCUUC